CUCAUUCUCCUCAACAGAAUGGUGUUCACUCCUUGAAACAUGUAGAGCCUUGCUUUUUCAAUCUGGCCUACCUGUCUCUUUCUGGGGGGAUUGUCUGUUAACUGCCACCUAUCUCCUUAACAAAAUACCUACCAGAACCCUUCAUCAUAAGUCUCCCCAUGAAAUUUUGUAUGGCAAAGCCCCAUCCUAUUCUCAUUUGAGAGCUUUUGGAUGCCUUGCUUAUGCUGCUGUCCCUAUUCCUCAAAGGGACAAGCUAAAACCUUAAAGCCCCAUCCUAUUCUCAUUUGAGAUCUUUUGGAUGCCUUGCUUAUGCUGCUAUCCCUAUCCCUCAAAGGGACAAGCUUAAACCUAGAGCCCAUUCUUGUGUGUUUCUGGGUUACCCCUUUGCUAAAAAGGGUUAUAAACUGUAUGACUUGGCUACGAAGAAGUGUUUUGUUUCAAGGGAUGUUGUUUUUCAUGAAUCCCAUUUUCCUUUUAAGGACAAUCCUACUUCUGUUCAUAUUUCCCGUUCCUCUGUUCCUUCUGUUCCCC
This 531-nucleotide long non-coding RNA is filed under the name Nicotiana benthamiana. RNAcentral's name for it is "long non-coding RNA (NBEN_LNC019978)". Lineage: Eukaryota; Viridiplantae; Streptophyta; Magnoliopsida; Solanales; Solanaceae. The record is from RNAcentral.